CCUACGGGUGGCUGCAGUGGGGAAUAUUGCACAAUGGGCGAAACCCUGAUGCAGCGACGCCGCGUGAGUGAAGAAGUAUUUCGGUACGUAAAGCACUAUCAGCAGGGAAGAAAGUGACGAUACCUGACUAAUACGCCACGGCUAACUACGUCCCAGCAGCCGCGGUAAUACGUAGGGGGCACGCGUUAGCCGGAUUUACUGGGUGUAGAGGGAGCGUAGACGGCAGCGCAAGUCUGGAGUGAAAUCCCAUGGCUUAACCAUGGAACUGCUUUGGAAACUGGGCAGCUGGAGUGCAGGAGAGGUAAGCGGAAUUCCUAGUGUAGCGGUGAAAUGCGUAGAUAUUAGGAGGAAUACCAGUGGCGAAGGCGGCUUACUGGACUGUAACUGACGCUGAGGCUCGAAAGCGUGGGGAGCAAACAGGAUUAGAUACCCUUGUAGUC
This 440-nucleotide ribosomal RNA is filed under the name uncultured bacterium. Its description in RNAcentral is "partial 16S ribosomal RNA". It matches the Rfam family "Bacterial small subunit ribosomal RNA", at positions 338 to 795 of the family's 1533-position model. The record is from RNAcentral.